AUUUAUAUAAUAUAAAAAGUAUAUUUGAUUUCCAAUCAAAAAGUCUAUUUUAAUUUAGUAUAAAUA
Molecule: transfer RNA, 66 nt
Filed under: Empria sp.
Lineage: Eukaryota; Metazoa; Arthropoda; Insecta; Hymenoptera; Tenthredinidae
Description: tRNA-Gly
Source: RNAcentral